UUAAGCCAUGCGAGUCGAAUGUAGCAAUACAUGGCGUACUGCUCAGUAACACGUGGACAACCUACCCUCCGGACGGGUAUAAACCCGGGAAACUGGGUAUAAUCCCCGAUAGAUCUCGGUCGCUGGAAAGCUCCGAGAUCGAAAGCUCCGGCGCCAGAGGAUGGGUCUGCGGCCUAUCAGGUAGUAGUGGGUGUAGCGUACCUACUAGCCUACGACGGGUACGGGUUGUGAGAGCAAGAGCCCGGAGAUGGAUUCUGAGACACGAAUCCAGCCUACGGUGCAGCAGCGCNNNC
This 293-nucleotide ribosomal RNA is filed under the name uncultured Methanosarcinales archaeon. Its description in RNAcentral is "partial 16S ribosomal RNA". It matches the Rfam family "Archaeal small subunit ribosomal RNA", at positions 44 to 342 of the family's 1478-position model. The record is from RNAcentral. Lineage: Archaea; Methanobacteriati; Methanobacteriota; Methanomicrobia; Methanosarcinales.